RNAcentral lists this non-coding RNA (497 nucleotides) under Perkinsus marinus ATCC 50983. Its description in RNAcentral is "Eukaryotic large subunit ribosomal RNA". It matches the Rfam family "Eukaryotic large subunit ribosomal RNA", at positions 1 to 502 of the family's 3401-position model. The record is from Rfam by way of RNAcentral. Lineage: Eukaryota; Perkinsozoa; Perkinsida; Perkinsidae.
AAGGCCUGAUGUGUGUGAGAUUACCCGCUGAAUUUAAGCAUAUAAGUAAGCGGAGGAAAAGAAACUAACUAGGAUUCCCUUAGUAAUGGCGAAUGAACAGGGAUCAGCUCAGUGCCAAAUCGGAAUCACUUGUGGUUCUGAAAUGUGGCUUGAAGGCAGUACCAGUGGCAUCGCGGACGAAAGUCUCUUGGAAAAGAGCGUCAUAGAGGGUGAGAAUCCCGUGAGUCGUUCGCCGUUUGUCACGUACGGUCUGCGUUCUAACGAGUCGCGUUCCUUGGGAUUGGAGCGUAAACGGGUGGUAAAUUUCAUCCAAAGCAAAAUAUAUACUCGAGACCGAUAGCACAAAAGUACCGUGAGGGAAAGGUGAAAAGAACUUUGAGAAGAGGGUUAAAUAGUGCCUGAAAUCGUUGAGAAGGAAGCGGAUGCCGCCGUUGCAUAUGCUGAUUGUAGGAUUGCUGCUCGCUCCUGUCUUCUGCUACUCAUUCACAGACCUGGUC